CUACGGGAGGCAGCAGUGAGGAAUAUUGGUCAAUGGCCGGAAGGCUGAACCAGCCAAGCCGCGUGAAGGACGAAGGUGCCAAGCAUUGUAAACUUCUUUUGUCAAGGGACAAAAUCAGGCUCGAGAGCCUGACCGAGGGUACUUGAAGAAAAAGCAUCGGCUAACUCCGUACCAGCAGCCGCGGUAAUACGGAGGAUGCGAGCGUUAUCCGGAUUUAUUGGGUUUAAAGGGUGCGUAGGCGGACUGUUAAGUCAGCGGUAAAAGCCCGGGGCUCAACCCCGGCGAGCCGUUGAAACUGGCUGUCU
This 305-nucleotide ribosomal RNA is filed under the name uncultured bacterium. RNAcentral's name for it is "bacterial SSU rRNA". It matches the Rfam family "Bacterial small subunit ribosomal RNA", at positions 339 to 642 of the family's 1533-position model. The record is from RNAcentral.